Molecule: non-coding RNA, 125 nt
Organism: Triticum aestivum (bread wheat)
Lineage: Eukaryota; Viridiplantae; Streptophyta; Magnoliopsida; Poales; Poaceae
Source: Rfam
CUGCUACUCACUCUGUUCGGAAAUACUUGUCACAUAAAUGGAUAAAAAUGAAUGUAUCUAGAACUAAAAUACGUCUAGAUACAUCCAUUUCGAUGACAAGUAUUUCGGGACGGAUGGAGUACCAA